This 666-nucleotide ribosomal RNA is filed under the name Russula sp. LM1730. RNAcentral's name for it is "eukaryotic LSU rRNA". The stretch from base 200 to 353 matches the Rfam family "5.8S ribosomal RNA". Lineage: Eukaryota; Fungi; Basidiomycota; Agaricomycetes; Russulales; Russulaceae. The record is from RNAcentral.
CAUUAUCGUACACAGAGGCGCGAGGGCUGUCGCUGACCCUUCAAAGGUCGUGCACGCCCGAGCGCUCUCUCACAAUCCAUCUCACCCCUUUGUGCAUCACCGCGUGGGUCCUCCCCUCUCUUCGGGGAGGGCUUGCGUUUUCACAUAAAACUCGAUACAGUGUAGAGUGUUUAUUCUUGCGGUCACACGCAAUCAAUACAACUUUCAACAACGGAUCUCUUGGCUCUCGCAUCGAUGAAGAACGCAGCGAAAUGCGAUACGUAAUGUGAAUUGCAGAAUUCAGUGAAUCAUCGAAUCUUUGAACGCACCUUGCGCCCCUUGGCAUUCCGAGGGGCACACCCGUUUGAGUGUCGUGAAAUCCUCAAAACCUUUUUCUUUGACGAGAAAAGGAGUUUUGGACUUGGAGGUUCAAUGCCCGCUUUCGGCAUCGAAAGCGAGCUCCUCUCAAAUGAAUCAGUGGGGUCCGCUUUGCUGGUCCUUGACGUGAUAAGAUGUUUCUACGUUUUGGAUCUGGCACUGUCCCUUGGAUGCCCGCUUCUAACCGUCUCAUAGACAACGAUGGUGCCCCGGUCACCUCCGUCCACGUUGGCGGGGGAGGCUUGGCCCACGACAAAAAAACCUUGACCUCAAAUCGGGUGAGACUACCCGCUGAACUUAAGCAUAUCA